Molecule: ribosomal RNA, 498 nt
Filed under: uncultured bacterium
Lineage: Bacteria
Description: partial 16S ribosomal RNA
Rfam family: Bacterial small subunit ribosomal RNA
Source: RNAcentral
GAUGAACGCUGGCGGCGUGCCUAAUACAUGCAAGUCGAGCGAACAGACGAGUAGCUUACUCCUCUGACGUUAGCGGCGGACGGGUGAGUAACACGUGGAUAACCUACCUAUAAGACUGUGAUAACUUCGGGAAACCGGAGCUAAUACCGGAUAACAUGUUGAACCGCAUGGUUCAACAGUGAAAGACGGUCUUGCUGUCACUUAUAGAUGGAUCCGCGUCGCAUUAGCUAGUUGGUAAGGUAACGGCUUACCAAGGCAACGAUGCGUAGCCGACCUGAGAGGGUGAGCGGCCACACUGGAACUGAGACACGGUCCAGACUCCUACGGGAGGCAGCAGUAGGGAAUCUUCCGCAAUGGGCGAAAGCAUGACGGAGCAACGCAGCGUGAGUGAAGAAGGUCUUCGGAUCGGAAAACUCUGUUAUUAGGGAAGAACAAAUGUGUAAGUAACUAUGCACGUCUUGACGGUAACUAAUCAGAAAGCCACGGCUAACUACGGGC